Molecule: ribosomal RNA, 254 nt
Filed under: uncultured bacterium
Lineage: Bacteria
Description: partial 16S ribosomal RNA
Rfam family: Bacterial small subunit ribosomal RNA
Source: RNAcentral
UACGUAGGAGGCGAGCGUUGUCCGGAAUUACUGGGCGUAAAGAGCGCGUAGGCGGCGCGGUACGACCGCUGUGAAAGCCCCCAGCUCAACUGGGGAGGGUCAGCGGUAACGGCCGUGCUAUGAGUGCAGGAGAGGGAAGUGGAACUCCGGGAGUAGCGGUGAAAUGCGUAGAUAUCAGGAGGAACACCUGUGGUGUAGACGGCUUUCUGGACCAUAGCUGACGCUGAGACACGAAAGCGUGGGUAGCAAACAGG